This 447-nucleotide ribosomal RNA is filed under the name uncultured bacterium. RNAcentral's name for it is "bacterial SSU rRNA". It matches the Rfam family "Bacterial small subunit ribosomal RNA", at positions 72 to 553 of the family's 1533-position model. The record is from RNAcentral.
UUAUAUUAUAAAUAUAAGUUAAGUAGCGGACGGGUGAGUAACAUGUAAGAACCUGCCUUUAGGAGGGGGAUAACCGCUGGAAACGGCGGCUAAAACCCCAUAAACUGCGGAGUAAAAGGUGAAAACUACCUAAAGAUGGGCUUGCAUCUGAUUAGCUUGUUGGUGAAUUAACUGUUCACCAAGGCGAUGAUCAGUAGUUGGUCUAAGAGGAUGAUCAACCACACUGGGACUGAGACACGGCCCAGACCUCUACGGAGGGCAGCAGUGAGGAAUUUUCCGCAAUGGGCGAAAGCCUGACGGAGCAAUGCCGCGUGGAUGAUGAAGGCUUUUGAGUCGUAAAGUCCUUUUCUUAGUAAAGAAAAUAGACGGUAGCUAAGGAAUAAGCAUCGGCUAAUUCCGUGCCAGCAGCCGCGGUAAUACGGAACAUGCCAGCGUUAUUCGGAAUUA